This is a non-coding RNA of Cavia porcellus (domestic guinea pig), 463 nucleotides long. NCBI's taxonomy places the organism in Eukaryota, Metazoa, Chordata, Mammalia, Rodentia, Caviidae. The record is from the annotation of a RefSeq genome assembly.
AGAUUUGCAUAUAGGGCAUCCUGGCUGUUGUGGGACUUGAUGGUAGGAUAAGAGACCCUGCAAUGGUAUGGCUUCUUCACCAGAACUCUGUGGUGACUGCACCAUGGCCCAGACCCCUCUUUUCUUCCUCAUCUUCCUCCUCUACUGCACAGGAUCCUUCUGCCAGCCUGUGCUGAAACAGUCACCCUCUGCUUCUGCUUCUCCGGGAGGCUCGAUCAAGCUGACCUGCACUUUGAGUAGUGAGCACAGCAGUUACUACAUUGAAUGGUAUCAGCAGCACCCAGGGAAGUCCCCUGGUUAUGUGAUGCAACUUAAGAGUGAUGGAAGCCAUAGCAAAGGGGACGGAAUACCUGAUCGAUUCACAGGCUCCAGCUCUGGGGCUGAUCGCUACUUAACCAUCUCCAACAUCCAGCCUGAAGACGAGGCUGACUAUUUCUGUGGUGUGGGUUAUAGCGGUGGUUAA